Molecule: ribosomal RNA, 497 nt
Filed under: uncultured bacterium
Lineage: Bacteria
Description: partial 16S ribosomal RNA
Rfam family: Bacterial small subunit ribosomal RNA
Source: RNAcentral
GAUGAACGCUGGCGGCGUGCCUAAUACAUGCAAGUCGAGCGAACGGACGAGAAGCUUGCUUCUCUGAUGUUAGCGGCGGACGGGUGAGUAACACGUGGAUAACCUACCUAUAAGACUGGGAUAACUUCGGGAAACCGGAGCUAAUACCGGAUAAUAUUUUGAACCGCAUGGUUCAAAAGUGAAAGACGGUCUUGCUGUCACUUAUAGAUGGAUCCGCGCUGCAUUAGCUAGUUGGUAAGGUAACGGCUUACCAAGGCAACGAUGCAUAGCCGACCUGAGAGGGUGAUCGGCCACACUGGAACUGAGACACGGUCCAGACUCCUACGGGAGGCAGCAGUAGGGAAUCUUCCGCAAUGGGCGAAAGCCUGACGGAGCAACGCCGCGUGAGUGAUGAAGGUCUUCGGAUCGUAAAACUCUGUUAUUAGGGAAGAACAUAUGUGUAAGUAACUGUGCACAUCUCGACGGUACCUAACCAGAAAGCCACGGCUAACUACGUG